CGCGAGGUAGAGCAGUUGGCAGCUCGUCAGGCUCAUAACCUGAAGGCCGGUGGUUCGAGUCCACCCCUCGCUA
RNAcentral lists this transfer RNA (73 nucleotides) under Treponema sp. RNAcentral describes it as "tRNA-Met". It matches the Rfam family "tRNA". Rfam says of the family: Transfer RNA (tRNA) molecules are approximately 80 nucleotides in length. Their secondary structure includes four short double-helical elements and three loops (D, anti-codon, and T loops). Further hydrogen bonds mediate the characteristic L-shaped molecular structure. tRNAs have two regions of fundamental functional importance: the anti-codon, which is responsible for specific mRNA codon recognition, and the 3' end, to which the tRNAs corresponding amino acid is attached (by aminoacyl-tRNA synthetases). tRNAs cope with the degeneracy of the genetic code in two manners: having more than one tRNA (with a specific anti-codon) for a particular amino acid; and 'wobble' base-pairing, i.e. permitting non-standard base-pairing at the 3rd anti-codon position. The record is from RNAcentral. RNAcentral also lists the same sequence under 2 other names. Lineage: Bacteria; Pseudomonadati; Spirochaetota; Spirochaetia; Treponematales; Treponemataceae.